This 1552-nucleotide ribosomal RNA is filed under the name Salmonella enterica subsp. enterica serovar Oranienburg. RNAcentral's name for it is "bacterial SSU rRNA". It matches the Rfam family "Bacterial small subunit ribosomal RNA". Lineage: Bacteria; Pseudomonadati; Pseudomonadota; Gammaproteobacteria; Enterobacterales; Enterobacteriaceae. RNAcentral also lists the same sequence under 1 other name. The record is from RNAcentral.
AAAUUGAAGAGUUUGAUCAUGGCUCAGAUUGAACGCUGGCGGCAGGCCUAACACAUGCAAGUCGAACGGUAGCACAGAGAGCUUGCUCUCGGGUGACGAGUGGCGGACGGGUGAGUAAUGUCUGGGAAACUGCCUGAUGGAGGGGGAUAACUACUGGAAACGGUGGCUAAUACCGCAUAACGUCGCAAGACCAAAGAGGGGGACCUUCGGGCCUCUUGCCAUCAGAUGUGCCCAGAUGGGAUUAGCUUGUUGGUGAGGUAACGGCUCACCAAGGCGACGAUCCCUAGCUGGUCUGAGAGGAUGACCAGCCACACUGGAACUGAGACACGGUCCAGACUCCUACGGGAGGCAGCAGUGGGGAAUAUUGCACAAUGGGCGCAAGCCUGAUGCAGCCAUGCCGCGUGUAUGAAGAAGGCCUUCGGGUUGUAAAGUACUUUCAGCGGGGAGGAAGGUGUUGUGGUUAAUAACCGCAGCAAUUGACGUUACCCGCAGAAGAAGCACCGGCUAACUCCGUGCCAGCAGCCGCGGUAAUACGGAGGGUGCAAGCGUUAAUCGGAAUUACUGGGCGUAAAGCGCACGCAGGCGGUCUGUCAAGUCGGAUGUGAAAUCCCCGGGCUCAACCUGGGAACUGCAUUCGAAACUGGCAGGCUUGAGUCUUGUAGAGGGGGGUAGAAUUCCAGGUGUAGCGGUGAAAUGCGUAGAGAUCUGGAGGAAUACCGGUGGCGAAGGCGGCCCCCUGGACAAAGACUGACGCUCAGGUGCGAAAGCGUGGGGAGCAAACAGGAUUAGAUACCCUGGUAGUCCACGCCGUAAACGAUGUCUACUUGGAGGUUGUGCCCUUGAGGCGUGGCUUCCGGAGCUAACGCGUUAAGUAGACCGCCUGGGGAGUACGGCCGCAAGGUUAAAACUCAAAUGAAUUGACGGGGGCCCGCACAAGCGGUGGAGCAUGUGGUUUAAUUCGAUGCAACGCGAAGAACCUUACCUGGUCUUGACAUCCACAGAACUUUCCAGAGAUGGAUUGGUGCCUUCGGGAACUGUGAGACAGGUGCUGCAUGGCUGUCGUCAGCUCGUGUUGUGAAAUGUUGGGUUAAGUCCCGCAACGAGCGCAACCCUUAUCCUUUGUUGCCAGCGAUUAGGUCGGGAACUCAAAGGAGACUGCCAGUGAUAAACUGGAGGAAGGUGGGGAUGACGUCAAGUCAUCAUGGCCCUUACGACCAGGGCUACACACGUGCUACAAUGGCGCAUACAAAGAGAAGCGACCUCGCGAGAGCAAGCGGACCUCAUAAAGUGCGUCGUAGUCCGGAUUGGAGUCUGCAACUCGACUCCAUGAAGUCGGAAUCGCUAGUAAUCGUGGAUCAGAAUGCCACGGUGAAUACGUUCCCGGGCCUUGUACACACCGCCCGUCACACCAUGGGAGUGGGUUGCAAAAGAAGUAGGUAGCUUAACCUUCGGGAGGGCGCUUACCACUUUGUGAUUCAUGACUGGGGUGAAGUCGUAACAAGGUAACCGUAGGGGAACCUGCGGUUGGAUCACCUCCUUACCUUAAAGAAGC